This 444-nucleotide ribosomal RNA is filed under the name uncultured bacterium. RNAcentral describes it as "partial 16S ribosomal RNA". It matches the Rfam family "Bacterial small subunit ribosomal RNA", at positions 339 to 795 of the family's 1533-position model. The record is from RNAcentral.
CUACGGGCGGCACCAGUGGGGAAUAUUGCACAAUGGGCGCAAGCCUGAUGCAGCAACGCCGCGUGAGGGAUGAAGGCCUUCGGGUUGUAAACCUCUUUUAGCAGGGAAGAAGCGAAAGUGACGGUACCUGCAGAAAAAGCACCGGCUAACUACGUGCCAGCAGCCGCGGGAAUACGUAGGGUGCAAGCGUUGUCCGGAAUUAUUGGGCGUAAAGAGCUCGUAGGCGGUUUGUCACGUCUGCUGUGAAAAUCCAAGGCUCAACCUUGGACUUGCAGUGGGUACGGGCAGGCUAGAGUGCGGUAGGGGAGAUGGGAAUUCCUGGUGUAGCGGUGGAAUGCGCAGAUAUCAGGAGGAACACCAAUGGCGAAGGCACAUCUCUGGGCCGUAACUGACGCUGAGGAGCGAAAGCGUGGGGAGCGAACAGGAUUAGAUACCCUGGUAGUC